This 253-nucleotide ribosomal RNA is filed under the name uncultured bacterium. RNAcentral's name for it is "partial 16S ribosomal RNA". It matches the Rfam family "Bacterial small subunit ribosomal RNA", at positions 524 to 776 of the family's 1533-position model. The record is from RNAcentral.
UACGAAGGGGGCAAGCGUUGUUCGGAAUUACUGGGCGUAAAGGGCGCGUAGGCGGCCGAUCAAGUCAGGCGUGAAAUUCCCGGGCUCAACCUGGGGGCUGCGCUUGAUACUGAUUGGCAUGAAUGCGGGAGAGGAUAGUGGAAUUCCCAGUGCAGAGGUGAAAUUCGUAGAUAUUGGGAAGAACACCGGUGGCGAAGGCGGCUAUCUGGCCCGUAAUUGACGCUGAGGCGCGAAAGCGUGGGGAGCAAACAGG